GAUGAGGAUAGGCUCGCGUGACAUUAGCUUGACGGCGGGGUAACGGCCCACCGUGGCGACGAUGUCUAGGGGUUCUGAGAGGAAGGUCCCCCACACUGGAACUGAGACACGGUCCAGACUCCUACGGGAGGCAGCAGUGAGGAAUAUUGGUCAAUGGCCGGAAGGCUGAACCAGCCAUGCCGCGUGAAGGUCAGUGCCCUAUGGGCGUUAAACUUCUUUUGUGCGGGAGCAAUAAGGUCCACGUGUGGACCGACGAGAGUACCGUACGAAUAAGCAUCGGCUAACUCCGUGCCAGCAGCCGCGGUAAUACGGGGGAUGCAAGCGUUAUCCGGAUUUAUUGGGUUUAAAGGGUGCGUAGGCUGUGAGGUAAGUCAGCGGUGAAAUGCCCCCGCUCAACGGGGGAAGUGCCAUUGAUACUGCCUUGCUGGAAUGCGGAUGCCGUGGGAGGAAUGUGUGGUGUAGCGGUGAAAUGCAUAGAUAUCACACAGAACACCGAUUGCGAAGGCAUCUCACGAAUCCGCUAUUGACGCUGAUGCACGAAAGCGUGGGUAUCAAACAGGAUUAGAUACCCUGGUAGUCCACGCUGUAAACGAUGAUGACUAACCGUCGGCGAUACACAGUCG
Molecule: ribosomal RNA, 623 nt
Filed under: uncultured bacterium
Lineage: Bacteria
Description: bacterial SSU rRNA
Rfam family: Bacterial small subunit ribosomal RNA
Source: RNAcentral